UGUCACGGAACCAAGGUAUUCACUUGGCUCUUUUCUUCCCCAUUGAAAGUGCUUUACAACCCUAAGGCCUUCUAUCACACACGCGGCAUGGCUGCAUCAGGCUUGCGCCCAUUGUGCAAUAUUC
This 124-nucleotide ribosomal RNA is filed under the name uncultured bacterium. RNAcentral's name for it is "partial 16S ribosomal RNA". The record is from RNAcentral.